GACGAACGCUGGCGGCGUGCCUAAUACAUGCAAGUAGAACGCACAGUUUAUACCGUAGCUUGCUACACCAUAGACUGUGAGUUGCGAACGGGUGAGUAACGCGUAGGUAACCUGCCUGGUAGCGGGGGAUAACUAUUGGAAACGAUAGCUAAUACCGCAUAAUAUUGAUUAUUGCAUGAUAAUUGAUUGAAAGAUGCUAUUGCAUCACUACCAGAUGGACCUGCGUUGUAUUAGCUAGUAGGUGAGGUAACGGCUCACCUAGGCGACGAUACAUAGCCGACCGGAGAGGGGGAUCGGCCACACUGGGACUGAGACACGGCCCAGACUCCUACGGGAGGCAGCAGUAGGGAAUCUUCGGCAAUGGACGAAAGUCUGACCGAGCAACGCCGCGUGAGUGAAGAAGGUUUUCGGAUCGUAAAGCUCUGUUGUAAGAGAAGAACGGGUGUGAGAGUGGAAAGUUCACACUGUGACGGUAUCUUACCAGAAAGGGACGGCUAACUACGUG
This 505-nucleotide ribosomal RNA is filed under the name uncultured bacterium. RNAcentral's name for it is "partial 16S ribosomal RNA". It matches the Rfam family "Bacterial small subunit ribosomal RNA", at positions 28 to 507 of the family's 1533-position model. The record is from RNAcentral.